GGUUCUAUAGUGUAGCGGUUAUCACUCCGGAUUCUGAAUGACGUUCAUUCCGGCAACCCCGGUUCGAUUCCGGGUAGGACCU
Molecule: non-coding RNA, 82 nt
Organism: Parathielavia appendiculata
Lineage: Eukaryota; Fungi; Ascomycota; Sordariomycetes; Sordariales; Chaetomiaceae
Source: the annotation of a RefSeq genome assembly